GGAAGGGGCGUAGGCCUACCAUGCAAGUCGAGCGGAUGACAGGAGCUUGCUCCUUGAUUCAGCGGCGGACGGGUGAGUAAUGCCUAGGAAUCUGCCUGGUAGUGGGGGACAACGUUUCGAAAGGAACGCUAAUACCGCAUACGUCCUACGGGAGAAAGCAGGGGACCUUCGGGCCUUGCGCUAUCAGAUGAGCCUAGGUCGGAUUAGCUAGUUGGUGAGGUAAUGGCUCACCAAGGCGACGAUCCGUAACUGGUCUGAGAGGAUGAUCAGUCACACUGGAACUGAGACACGGUCCAGACUCCUACGGGAGGCAGCAGUGGGGAAUAUUGGACAAUGGGCGAAAGCCUGAUCCAGCCAUGCCGCGUGUGUGAAGAAGGUCUUCGGAUUGUAAAGCACUUUAAGUUGGGAGGAAGGGCAUUAACCUAAUACGUUAGUGUUUUGACGUUACCGACAGAAUAAGCACCGGCUAACUCUGUGCCAGCAGCCGCGGUAAUACAGAGGGUGCAAGCGUUAAUCGGAAUUACUGGGCGUAAAGCGCGCGUAGGUGGUUCGUUAAGUUGGAUGUGAAAUCCCCGGGCUCAACCUGGGAACUGCAUCCAAAACUGGCGAGCUAGAGUAGGGCAGAGGGUGGUGGAAUUUCCUGUGUAGCGGUGAAAUGCGUAGAUAUAGGAAGGAACACCAGUGGCGAAGGCGACCACCUGGGCUCAUACUGACACUGAGGUGCGAAAGCGGGGGGAGCAAACAGGAUUAGAUACCCGGGGGGCCCCCGCCGGGGCCGGGGGCCCC
RNAcentral lists this ribosomal RNA (786 nucleotides) under Pseudomonas sp. RNAcentral describes it as "bacterial SSU rRNA". It matches the Rfam family "Bacterial small subunit ribosomal RNA", at positions 35 to 816 of the family's 1533-position model. Lineage: Bacteria; Pseudomonadati; Pseudomonadota; Gammaproteobacteria; Pseudomonadales; Pseudomonadaceae. The record is from RNAcentral.